GUGCUCGCUUCGGCAGCACAUAUACUAAAAUUGGAAUGAUACAAAGGAAAUUAGCAUAGCCCCUGGGCAAGGAUGACAUGCAAAUUCGUGAAGUGUUCCUUAUUUAA
RNAcentral lists this small nuclear RNA (107 nucleotides) under Myotis brandtii (Brandt's bat). Lineage: Eukaryota; Metazoa; Chordata; Mammalia; Chiroptera; Vespertilionidae. The record is from RNAcentral.